AUUGAACGCUGGCGGCAGGCCUAACACAUGCAAGUCGAACGAGCGGCGGACGGGUGAGUAAUGUAUGGGACGUGCCUGAUAGUGGGGGAUAACUGCUGGAAAAGGUGGCUAAUACCGCAUACUAUCGGAUAACCCAUAUGGGAUUAGCUAGUAGGUGGGGUAAAGGCUCACCUAGGCGACGAUCUCUAGCUGGUCUGAGAGGAUGAUCAGCCACACUGGGACUGAGACACGGCCCAGACUCCUACGGAGGCAGCAGUGGGGAAUAUUGGACAAUGGGCGCAAGCCUGAUGCAGCCAUGCCGCGUGUAUGAAGAAGGCCUUAGGGUUGUAAAGGACUUUCAUCGGGGAGGCGUUACCUGCAGAAUAAGCACCGGCUAACUCCGUGCCAGCAGCCGCGGUAAUAC
This 403-nucleotide ribosomal RNA is filed under the name uncultured bacterium. RNAcentral describes it as "partial 16S ribosomal RNA". It matches the Rfam family "Bacterial small subunit ribosomal RNA", at positions 30 to 526 of the family's 1533-position model. The record is from RNAcentral.